GAUGAACGCUGGCGGCGUGCCUAAUACAUGCAAGUCGAGCGAACAGAUAAGGAGCUUGCUCCUUUGACGUUAGCGGCGGACGGGUGAGUAACACGUGGGUAACCUACCUAUAAGACUGGGAUAACUUCGGGAAACCGGAGCUAAUACCGGAUAACAUUUGGAACCGCAUGGUUCUAAAGUGAAAGAUGGUUUUGCUAUCACUUAUAGAUGGACCCGCGCCGUUAGCUAGUUGGUAAGGUAACGGCUUACCAAGGCGACGAUACGUAGCCGACCUGAGAGGGUGAUCGGCCACACUGGAACUGAGACACGGUCCAGACUCCUACGGGAGGCAGCAGUAGGGAAUCUUCCGCAAUGGGCGAAAGCCUGACGGAGCAACGCCGCGUGAGUGAUGAAGGGUUUCGGCUCGUAAAACUCUGUUAUUAGGGAAGAACAAAUGUGUAAGUAACUGUGCACGUCUUGACGGUACCUAAUCAGAAAGCCACGGCUAACUACGUG
Molecule: ribosomal RNA, 495 nt
Filed under: uncultured bacterium
Lineage: Bacteria
Description: partial 16S ribosomal RNA
Rfam family: Bacterial small subunit ribosomal RNA
Source: RNAcentral